Molecule: ribosomal RNA, 253 nt
Filed under: uncultured bacterium
Lineage: Bacteria
Description: partial 16S ribosomal RNA
Rfam family: Bacterial small subunit ribosomal RNA
Source: RNAcentral
UACGUAGGUGGCAAGCGUUGUCCGGAUUUACUGGGCGUAAAGGGCGCGCAGGCGGUUCUGUUUGUCGAGUGUGAAAGCCCCGGGCUUAACCUGGGAACUGCGCUCGAAACGGCGGAACUAGAGUUCGGGAGAGGAGAGUGGAAUUCCCAGUGUAGAGGUGAAAUUCGUAGAUAUUGGGAAGAACACCGGUGGCGAAGGCGGCUCUCUGGGCCGAUACUGACGCUGAGGAGCGAAAGCGUGGGGAGCGAACAGG